AACGCGAAGAACCUUACCUGGGCUCGAACGGCUGGCCAACGGCAGUGGAAACAUUGCUACCCCUUAAAAGGGUCCAGUCGAGGUGCUGCAUGGCUGUCGUCAGCUCGUGUCGUGAGAUGUUGGGUUAAGUCCCGCAACGAGCGCAACCCUUGUCCUGUGUUGCCAUGCCCGAAAGGGCGGAACUCGCAGGAGACCGCCAGCGAUAAGCUGGAGGAAGGUGGGGAUGACGUCAAGUCCUCAUGGCCUUUAUGUCCAGGGCUACACACGUGCUACAAUGGACGGUACAAUACGUCGCUAACCCGCGAGGGGGAGCCAAUCGCAAAAAACCGUUCUCAGUUCGGAUUGCAGGCUGCAACUCGCCUGCAUGAAGCUGGAAUCGCUAGUAAUGGCAGAUCAGCACGCUGCCGUGAAUACGUUCCCGGGCCUUGUACACACCGCUACAGU
This 444-nucleotide ribosomal RNA is filed under the name uncultured bacterium. RNAcentral's name for it is "bacterial SSU rRNA". It matches the Rfam family "Bacterial small subunit ribosomal RNA", at positions 958 to 1401 of the family's 1533-position model. The record is from RNAcentral.